GCACUAAUGGUUUAGUGGUAAAAUUGAUGCUUCCCAUUCAAAUUGAUUGGCAGUGCUUCAGCCACGGGUUCGAUUCCCGUUUAGUGCA
Molecule: non-coding RNA, 88 nt
Organism: Neocucurbitaria cava
Lineage: Eukaryota; Fungi; Ascomycota; Dothideomycetes; Pleosporales; Cucurbitariaceae
Source: the annotation of a GenBank genome assembly